GGGGCUGUCAUGGUUUCGACAGGGAUAUCCGUUAUAUAGGGAGCAGUCGGUUGACUCCGUUAGAGGUCAAAAGCCAAUUAAAUGGCAAACCACAACUUGCUUUUGCUGCUUAGUUAACUAAAACUACAUAGCUCACUAUUCGAGAGUAGCAACGUCGGCUUAUGAUUGGUCAUUUGUCUUAGGUUAGGCGUAAUAUAAAAUGACUAGGGUUCUAUGGGCGGAUAGACAUAGGGCUUGAAAACUAAUUUAUCCUGGUCUUAGAGGUUAUUUGUUAAUUGUUAACCAUUAAGAUAAGAAAAUAACAAUUAACUAAGCUGUAGCGCCUUAUGUAAUGGUAUUUUUGGACACGGGUUCGACUCCCGUCAGCUCCACCA
This 374-nucleotide transfer-messenger RNA is filed under the name Bacilli. Its description in RNAcentral is "DUOZ01 sp012838555 Standard tmRNA". It matches the Rfam family "transfer-messenger RNA". From Rfam's summary of the family: Bacterial tmRNA, also known as 10Sa RNA or SsrA, is named for its dual tRNA and mRNA-like properties. Its role is to liberate the mRNA from a stalled ribosome. To accomplish this part of the tmRNA is used as a reading frame that ends in a translation stop signal. Lineage: Bacteria; Bacillati; Bacillota. RNAcentral also lists the same sequence under 1 other name. The record is from RNAcentral.